GGGGACGUGGGCCCGGCGGUGACGGGGGGAGUUGGGGGGGGGGGAAGCAGGGAAGCGUCGCCAGCCAAUCGCGCGCGUCGCACCCAACGUGGGGUGCUGACGCAACGCGUCCCCGAAGCCUAUAGCAGCAGAGCACCGGACGGACCGUCCUCCCCCUCCUCUCUUACCCCGUUUGCUUCCAUCUCCGCCGUCUCCUCGGUCUCCCCUCCCACCCCUCUACCCCUCCUCCCCCAGCCGCGUCCUCCCGGGCUCGGAGAGGAACUGUUCUUGGAGGAGCCGCGGGACGUCGAAACCAACCAAUGAGAAGAGGCGAGACGCGGAGAUUGGCACUGUGGAUGGGAAGAGAGAAGAGAGACAGAGAAAUGAGUCCUAGCUCCUCAUUCUUUUACUUUUAUUCUGGUAUCAGGCCAGUGCCAAGAGAGGUGGAAAAGUUGGACACUGAAAGGCUGGAAAACUUGCCAGAGUGAAGCUGAGGAGGCAAGAAAGGUGAUUUCUCUUCUGCAAAGGGAGCCUGUGUGUCAUCCAAGCCCUACCUGUGUGCAUCAAUUACGCGAAAUCCUUCCAGCCACCCUGACCGCUGAUGAAAGUACUAUGUUCAGAGCUGACUCUUCUAUUCGAGCAGAAAACACUUCUCCAUCACUUCCAGGGAGCAGAAAUUUCCCUAAAGAAAUUGUUUUGUACUUGCUGAGAAAGCCUUAUAAUUUUCACGGUAACUUAUCCUCCUAUGAAAACUACCUUUCUUCAAUACAACCAAGAAUAUUAAUCCUCCUCAAUACAUUUUUG
This 783-nucleotide long non-coding RNA is filed under the name Lynx canadensis (Canada lynx). Its description in RNAcentral is "lncRNA (ENSLCNG00005013181.1)". The record is from RNAcentral. Lineage: Eukaryota; Metazoa; Chordata; Mammalia; Carnivora; Felidae.